GAUGAAGAACGCAGCGAAAUGCGAUACGUAAUGUGAAUUGCAAAUUCAGUGAAUCAUCGAGUCUUUGAACGCACAUUGCGCCCCCUGGUAUUCCGGGGGGCAUGCCUGUCCGAGCGUCAUUGCUGCCCUCAAGCACGGCUUGUGUGUUGGGCCCCGUCCUCCGAUCCCGGGGGACGGGCCCGAAAGGCAGCGGCGGCACCGCGUCCGGUCCUCGAGCGUAUGGGGCUUUGUCACCCGCUCUGUAGGCCCGGCCGGCGCUUGCCGAUCAACCCAAAUUUUUAUCCAGGUUGAACUCGGAUCAGGUAGGGAUACCCGCUGAACUUAAGCAUAUCAAUAAGCGGAGGA
Molecule: unclassified non-coding RNA, 345 nt
Filed under: soil metagenome
Description: partial contains 5.8S ribosomal RNA, internal transcribed spacer 2, and large subunit ribosomal RNA
Rfam family: 5.8S ribosomal RNA (bases 1-119)
Source: RNAcentral